RNAcentral lists this ribosomal RNA (782 nucleotides) under uncultured bacterium. Its description in RNAcentral is "bacterial SSU rRNA". It matches the Rfam family "Bacterial small subunit ribosomal RNA", at positions 573 to 1351 of the family's 1533-position model. The record is from RNAcentral.
AGGUGGUUGAUCGCGUCGGAAGUGUAAUCUUGGGGCUUAACCCUGAGCGUGCUUUCGAUACGGGUUGACUUGAGGAAGGUAGGGGAGAAUGGAAUUCCUGGUGGAGCGGUGGAAUGCGCAGAUAUCAGGAGGAACACCAGUGGCGAAGGCGGUUCUCUGGGCCUUUCCUGACGCUGAGGAGCGAAAGCGUGGGGAGCGAACAGGCUUAGAUACCCUGGUAGUCCACGCUGUAAACGGUGGGUACUAGGUGUGGGGUCCAUUCCACGGGUUCCGUGCCGUAGCUAACGCUUUAAGUACCCCGCCUGGGGAGUACGGCCGCAAGGCUAAAACUCAAAGGAAUUGACGGGGCCCCGCACAAGCGGCGGAGCAUGCGGAUUAAUUCGAUGCAACGCGUAGAACCUUACCUGGGUUUGACAUGGAUCGGGAGUGCUCAGAGAUGGGUGUGCCUCUUUUGGGGUCGGUUCACAGGUGGUGCAUGGCUGUCGUCAGCUCGUGUCGUGAGAUGUUGGGUUAAGUCCCGCAACGAGCGCAACCCUUGUUCACUGUUGCCAGCACGUUAUGGUGGGGACUCAGUGGAGACCGCCGGGGUCAACUCGGAGGAAGGUGGGGAUGACGUCAAGUCAUCAUGCCCCUUAUGUCCAGGGCUUCACGCAUGCUACAAUGGCUGGUACAGAGAGUGGCGAGCCUGUGAGGGUGAGCGAAUCUCGGAAAGCCGGUCUCAGUUCGGAUUGGGGUCUGCAACUCGACCUCAUGAAGUCGGAGUCGCUAGUAAUCGCAGAUCA